This 400-nucleotide ribosomal RNA is filed under the name uncultured bacterium. RNAcentral describes it as "bacterial SSU rRNA". It matches the Rfam family "Bacterial small subunit ribosomal RNA", at positions 975 to 1375 of the family's 1533-position model. The record is from RNAcentral.
CUACUCUUGACAUCCAGAGAACUUAGCAGAGAUGCUUUGGUGCCUUCGGGAACUCUGAGACAGGUGCUGCAUGGCUGUCGUCAGCUCGUGUUGUGAAAUGUUUGGUUAAGUCCCGCAACGAGCGCAACCCUUAUCCUUUGUUGCCAGCGAUUCGGUCGGGAACUCAAAGGAGACUGCCGGUGAUAAACCGGAGGAAGGUGGGGAUGACGUCAAGUCAUCAUGGCCCUUACGAGUAGGGCUACACACGUGCUACAAUGGCGCAUACAAAGAGAAGCGACCUCGCGAGAGCAAGCGGACCUCAUAAAGUGCGUCGUAGUCCGGAUUGGAGUCUGCAACUCGACUCCAUGAAGUCGGAAUCGCUAGUAAUCGUGAAUCAGAAUGUCACGGUGAAUACGUUCCC